GACAAAGUAUUAAGGCGGUUUACGGAGAUACUCGACCCUUGUGAUCGAGUAGAGAGGUUGAAUAAAGUUGGCGCCUUUGCGAUUUCUUGCUCUGGGCAUGUUGUGAUCGAGCACUUGGGUCCAGUAUGUGCUCGAGUUCUGCUUCAUCUUCUUUUCUUCCUUAUGCUCAAUGUCUGGUUGAGUUGGGAUCUGAGAAGACUCUGAAGCUUAUGAUCAAGUGGCUGCGGGGAGGUGGUGAUCGAGUGUCUGGUCGAGUGAUCUGAGGGAAGCUUGCUGG
This 277-nucleotide long non-coding RNA is filed under the name Arabidopsis lyrata. RNAcentral describes it as "long non-coding RNA (ALYR_LNC001999)". The record is from RNAcentral. Lineage: Eukaryota; Viridiplantae; Streptophyta; Magnoliopsida; Brassicales; Brassicaceae.